UGGCAGCUUUACAAAAACACCUGUGACUCACAGGUACUCAAGUGCUGCUUAACCCUCCCAAAUGUUGUGGUCACUCUGAGGUGAAGCAGCAGAAGCACAGACAGCCUUGGAAGCUGCUGCCAGACCUGCACUAUGAUAUCCAGCACCUUUCUUUGAGGCACUGAGGAAUUCCAUGUUCUGUCACACUGGAAAUGGAGUGGGACACAGAGCUGAGUGCAGAUAGCUCCAGUAAAUCACCAGGGACCAAUGCCUCAGCUACCAAUCACCAGAAUAUCCAGUUACAAGAAUGUCUAAUUAAUGGGGAGAGCCAGUAAAACAAAGAGGAAGCUUUAUAAAACAGGCUGGAAAAGAAAUUAACUAUAGACCCCAUAUCUGCUAGUAAGAAAAAAAAAAAAAAACAUUCAAGAGCCCUGAUUUUGCAUCUUGCAGCUGCACAGCACUCCCACAUACUACCCGUGUCAAGCUGGCUCCAAUAUUGGAGACAGUGUGUGGAAAAGGAAAUAAUCAACACCAUUUCAGUGGAGAAAUAAAUUGCCAAGUG
This 541-nucleotide long non-coding RNA is filed under the name Taeniopygia guttata (zebra finch). Its description in RNAcentral is "lncRNA (ENSTGUG00000025086.1)". The record is from RNAcentral. Lineage: Eukaryota; Metazoa; Chordata; Aves; Passeriformes; Estrildidae.